GAAACUCGGUAAAAUGCAGCGGAAUAACUUCGACUGUAUCCGUGAAAAACCGAUCGUAGCUGAAUGACAACACCAUUUCCGGAAAAACAUUGUACGACAAAAUGGCGGACGAAACCAAACAAGUGACAAGGUUCGUGAGUGGUUCCAGGCGUGUGAUGACCCAGGGAUAUCAGCUAUUGACAGAUGCAGGAUGAUACAUAUAGGUAUAUAGGUUCAAGAAAUUCCUUCUGUCACUGGCUGAUUUGUCCGCUUCCCUCCUGUGGGUUUACAUGUGAACACGUCCAAAAUUUGUGGGGAGAGCAUUGUAAGACAAGAUCCAACCAGGACCACUUGUUUGAUGCCCCCAGUAGGCUCAUCCUGCGAGGAAACCGGUGAAGGUUAUGUCUAGUCUGCAUGAACCUGGUCUUGGAGCUACCACAAAGUCAAGGAAAGCAAGAUGAAGCGACUAAUAAGAGCUGGUCUUUCUGUUGCCGACUGUGAUGAACAGAUGUCAAAGUGUUGAAUCUGUUAUGUUUUUACAUAUGCACUUUCAUAAUGUGUAAAUAUGGGAAUGGUAAAGUUGGACAUGAUGUGAUGUUGUGUCUUACGUAAACAGAAAAUAAGACAUUUUUAUCUACUGAUUAUCAUUGGACAAAGAAAGUCAUAUUCAGAUUUGUCAAUGAAUAAAACACUUGAACUUCAUAUAUGGCUGUAAAUAUAUCUUUAUUACAAGUUAACAUGGUUGAUAAAAACAACAUUAAACAUAUCAUUGCA
Molecule: long non-coding RNA, 753 nt
Filed under: Haliotis rubra (blacklip abalone)
Lineage: Eukaryota; Metazoa; Mollusca; Gastropoda; Lepetellida; Haliotidae
Description: uncharacterized LOC124256720
Source: RNAcentral